UUACAAGGACCUUGCCGUGCUUUCUUAGCGGAUUUAGCCGCUGGUGACGCUAAGAGAACGCGAGUCGCAAACGCGUUUUUCUCCUUUUUUAUGGCGGUUGGAAACGUUUUGGGAUACGCGGCUGGAUCGUACACUCACCUUCACAAGAUGUUUCCGUUCACAAUGACUAAAGCUUGCGAUAUCUAUUGCGCGAAUCUCAAGACUUGUUUCUUCUUAUCCAUCACUCUCCUCCUCAUCGUCACCGUCACGUCUCUUUGGUA
This 260-nucleotide long non-coding RNA is filed under the name Arabidopsis lyrata. RNAcentral describes it as "long non-coding RNA (ALYR_LNC002859)". The record is from RNAcentral. Lineage: Eukaryota; Viridiplantae; Streptophyta; Magnoliopsida; Brassicales; Brassicaceae.